RNAcentral lists this transfer RNA (73 nucleotides) under uncultured Choricystis. Its description in RNAcentral is "tRNA-Arg". It matches the Rfam family "tRNA". Rfam says of the family: Transfer RNA (tRNA) molecules are approximately 80 nucleotides in length. Their secondary structure includes four short double-helical elements and three loops (D, anti-codon, and T loops). The record is from RNAcentral. Lineage: Eukaryota; Viridiplantae; Chlorophyta; Trebouxiophyceae.
GGGCUUGUAGCUCAGUGGAUAGAGCACGUGGCUACGAACCACGGAGUCGGGGGUUCGACUCCCUCCUGGCCCG